RNAcentral lists this long non-coding RNA (1950 nucleotides) under Phaseolus vulgaris (common bean). RNAcentral describes it as "long non-coding RNA (PVUL_LNC002534)". Lineage: Eukaryota; Viridiplantae; Streptophyta; Magnoliopsida; Fabales; Fabaceae. The record is from RNAcentral.
GUUGACAAGAACUUUUUGAUGUUGAUUAAGCCAUGUAAGACAGUUUCCAAUUUUAGAAGAAAAUCUUGUAUUAUAUGGUUAGAUAUAACUUUUAUCCAAUAGCCAAUGCUGAGUGAGGAGAUAAUGCAACAUAGAAUCACAUCACAGUCAUAUAACUGUAGUGAUCCAUUUCAUAUCUAUUACAAAACAGUGUACUGCUACAGUAUCUUGCAAAGCAGAAAGAAAUGACAAUACACUAGUUGAUAAAUACAAGCAUUCAGAAUUACAAAAAGACAGGGUUUAAAUCCAAUUACCGGAUUGUGAAGAACCAAGUUUGGUAGAAGAAUGACCCAAAUGGAACUUCAAUCCAGCAACCAUAGUCGUGAGUGGUAAUGUAUCUAAUGAGCUUCUCAUCUUCCUUUAACCUUCUGUUGGUUCAGCAAGAGUGGUGACCCAUCUUAAAUUUCUUAACUUUCUUCACACACUUAACCCUUUCCCAUUUCCACAAAACUCCAAAAAUUAAUAACAACCCAAGAAGAUUAUAACAACCUAAAGAGAAGCUAGUGCAAGAUGAAAACGAGAGAAAGAACAUUGUCGGUUGUUUCAUGCAGCGAAUAUUUGGUGCUAUGCAGCAAAUAAAGUGAGGCAUGGUGCUCUCCAACUGAUGCAUCAACUUGAACAAUUGAACCUAAAAGAAUGAAACUAUUUAGAUUUUUGCCCUUAACUAUUUCUCUUUAUACUUUCUGUACUUUGUUAUUCAAUAAUUUGAUUUUCAGGAGAGUAGGUUUAUAUUACCAUGUGUAAAUCUACUUUAACAAGCCUUAGUCAUUUCUUUUAAAUCUUUAUUAAGCACAAGAAAUGCUACAAAAUUACCUUGAACUUUGUUGCAACACUCUGCUUUUGAGACUGGUUAAAUAUUUUGGAGAAUAGCUGCAGCAAAUCACAAUUACAUGAUUUUGCUUCACAAACCAUGCUCUGAAUUUUAUCAAAAGAGUUUGUUUUACAAGCUUUAAAAGCUGAACAAAAUAAUUAAAAUAAUAAAACAUAAAGCUAAAAUUACCAAAUUAGAAUGAUAAAACUAGCAGAAACAAUGUUAUAUAUCCAAACAACUUCUGGUGUGUUGCUUAGCAUAUUCAGAGAAUUGUUAUAAUUUUUUCAAUAAGCACCUUACUCAUUUUGAAACAAGCAGCUCCAACUUUCACUUUCUUCCAAGAAAUAGCAAAUUGAUCAUAAGAAUAAAACUGGAUUUCUUGAUGAAAACAUGGAUUUGAACUAGGAUCGCCUUUAAUUAUCAUGUUUGGAAGAAAGAAGACCAAAAGAUCUUUAAAGGAAAUGCAGAGCAGAAAUAUUACUCAACUUAAAAGGGAUGCUAAAGAUGGAUAGUGUACUUAUAACAAAUUGCUCUGGUUUAAGGUAAGACUUACAUACGGUUCAAUAACUGUUGUUCUUCAAUUAGAAUAGGAGUUUCACCUCGUUAAUAUGUGGAGAAAGCUUUACAUUAAAUAAUUAUACAUAUUACCAAGGUGAAACUCUAAUUCUAAUUAGAGAACAGUACAAAUCACCUCCAUAGAACAGUAAGUAAGUUCUGCUCUUAGUUCAACUACUAAUAGACAAUGUUUAUGUGGAAUUUGGAAGUUAGAAACUUGAAAUGCAGAUAAUAUUGAUUUUAGAAAAAAAAAAGUUGACUAAUGCUUUGUAUGUCGCGAUAACAGAAUAAGAAUAAUAACAACAAUAAUAAAUAAUAAAUAGAAAACAAAGAGGAUUGACAUACCUAUUCUUUGUUUCAGUAUCUUCAUUUGCUGUUUGUAACUGAGAUCGGAGAACCCCCUGCAUUGACACAAAAGUAUCCCAAGCAUAAACAGUAAGUCUGAUUGAAUAUGAAAAAGCAUCAGCACUCAGCAGCUUAAUUCUCUUCCUCUCUACCCUUAAUUGAUACUAAACAAGGGACCAAUCAUUUUGUUCCUCUGUUCC